UCCCAGAUUACUUCUGAACUCGUAUUGC
RNAcentral lists this small RNA (28 nucleotides) under Bombyx mori (domestic silkworm). RNAcentral describes it as "ovarian small RNA-27156". The record is from RNAcentral. Lineage: Eukaryota; Metazoa; Arthropoda; Insecta; Lepidoptera; Bombycidae.